Long non-coding RNA from Marmota monax (woodchuck), 3593 nucleotides. RefSeq lists it as uncharacterized. The transcript is spliced from 2 exons. Lineage: Eukaryota; Metazoa; Chordata; Mammalia; Rodentia; Sciuridae. The record is from RefSeq and is a predicted model, not a curated record.
AGAGCCUCCCUCCAAGGCUGCCUGGCUGUAGGCAUGAGCUCCUGUCCCUGAUGGUCUUGGUGACACCGGGCACAUGCUACCUGGGCUACUGAGAAGGGCUGGACAGUGCUGCCUGUCCAGCUCUCCAGAGCUAGCCUCAGGGCUGGGGAGGGGCCCUGUAGUUCAGGAGUCAGACCAAGUUGUGGCCCUGGGCACAGGUCACAGAAGCCUUUCUAACUCACAGUAGCCUCAGCUGGUCUGACCAGUCAGGUUUCUGUGGGCUUAGCUGCUGACCUGUGUGCUGAGGCCUCUCCUGUUCCCAUGGGCACCCUUUCAUACCCAAGCUGGACACCAAGCCUCCUGGCAGCUUGUCCCAACCUGCUAUUCCAUUAAGGCUGGUGCGGCAGGUUAAUCUGCCUCAGGUUAUGCCUGCUUCAAAGCUUUGCAGGACCUCAGUGUGGGCUGACUGGUGGAUGUGGACGGUGAUUGCGACCCUGCUCCUCCACCCCUGGCCCUGUGUCUCCAGAAGCUGAAGGCACAGGACCCCACACUGUGGUGAUCGAAGGCAGCAAGAGCCCAGCAUCCCUGCUCUUCCUCAGCCACCGGCCCGGGGAGCUCUGCCCGAGAUAGCCCACGAGUAGCCCAUGGCCUGGGGCUGCACUCCAGGCCUGCUGGACACCAGAAGCAGGACAGAAGCUUGACUGGUGCCUUCCUGGUGAUGGGCCCAAGGGAGGCAGCCCAGCCUGGCCUUUCUCUAACUCAGCACCAGGGUGAGGGUCGGCAGGACCAAGGCAGAUGGUGAGAGCUGUCAGAGAAGUGGGCCCAAGAGGUGGUCUGAGAGCCGGACAGCCUCUGGACCCCCCUAGGAGGGCAAAGGUGGCAGCGGGCAAGGAGGCCUGUGGCUCUGGAGGGGAGCAAGGCGCAGAGGCCAGGCUGGGGUCAAGGCAGGCAGGAGCUGUUGCUUGCCCUUCAGAGGCCUGUGAACUGGCUUCGGAAUCCUAGACAGUGGCUCUGGCUUCACGCCAGGACUCUGAACCAGGGGCCCAGGUGCUGGGCUCUGUUCAGGUGGUCCAUGGCGCCUAGUGCCCCAGUGAGCCAGCGGGUAUGGGCGAUGCUUCUAGAUUAAACUCAAGAAGAGGAACUUCCACAGGGUCUACCUGCCAGAUCAUGGCUCCCACUAGGCUCCCUGAUACCCUGAGCCACAGACCACACAGCCUGGCUGGCCAGGGGCCGUGGGGCCUCAGUGAAGGCUACACAAAGAGCCAGGCCCUCACUGCCUGCCUCUUGCCCCUGCUGUGGCAUCGUGGGAGAGCUCGCUCUGCUCUCCUGACCAGGGUCAACUGUCCUUAUCUACUGGUAUGUGGCCACUGUUGGGGAGCUGCCCACUGGCCAUGCUGUCACAGGCUGCCCAGUUGCUCAAGACACUGUGGGUCAUGGACCAGGCCAAAGGCCUCCCCUGGAAUGCUCUGGAGAUGUGGCUGAUGGCCCUUGGACCCCAAGGCUGCUGUCUGUCUCUCUGGAAGGAGAGGUCAGGGGUGGCAUGCGGGAAGCAUGCGCAGGGCAGGUUGGCAAGGCCAGGCCUGCAGCCAGCACUGAGGGCUGCCCACGGGACACCCGGCUGGGGGUGAGGCUCCUAGCUCUCUGCGACCUCCCUGCUGCCUCUUCUAGUCUGACUGCAGUCUCAGCGCACAGGCGGGCUGGGAGGGGCAGAGACCCCACGAACACCAAGUACAGGGUUGGAACCCAUGGUCCUGUGCAUGCUAAGCACAAGCUCUAACACUGAGCUACAUACCCCACCAAGAGACUCUCCUAACUGGAUAAAUGCCCCAUUGAGAAAGCACACAGUUCAUCAUAUUUAGUGAAGAAACUUCAGCCUCAUCCCCUUCGAGUUAGGGAAGGAGACAAGAUGGCCACUGUGAUCACUCCUAUUGUGGAGGUUCUAGGGGUCCAGGUCACUCCAAAAGGAAAGAGAAAGAAGUGAGUUAAGGCUUAGAAGAAGAAAUACAUGGCGGUAACAACCAUCUGCUCAGCAUGACAAGAAGCAAGGACAGACUGCUGACGGUGAUACGGAAGCUCAGCAAGGUGAGCGACAGUCUCUAACUGCAGGGUACCCAGAGACACCAGAGACAGCAAGAGACUCCAAACCAGCCUGUGGCCCAGUGUGGCCCAGUGUGUGGGGACAGAAGCCACACCAGUGCGUACUGUGGCGCCCAGGCCUGGAUGGAGACACCUGGUUUCAAGGGAGGCUCGGGCCACCAGCCACCUGCAGGCCGUGCUUCCUCAGGUAGUAGGCCUCCAAGACCAGCAGCCUCUCAGGAAGAAACCAAGUGGGUUUGUCCCCCACACUGAUUUAAAGAGCUCAUGUCCCAUCUGUCUUUCUCUCGCUCCCUGUCUGGUGCAGGAGGUUGAACUCAGGGCUUCUCACAUGCUAGGCAAGUGCUCUACUACGCCCACAACUAAGUGGUCCAGGUUGGCCUUGAACCUGGGGUUCUCCAGCCUCAGCCUGCAGAGUCACUGGGAUCGCAGGUGUGGGUCUCCUGUGCAGACCUGAAAUGGAGGCAGCUGGGAGGCGGCACUGUCCCUGCACACGGCCCCUGGGGCUGCCCAGGCACUCCCGGGAAGACUCCCUCUGCAGUCAUGACUUCCCUUGGGCUUCCCUAAGUGCCACAGGGCAGAAGAAUUAAGAGGCCUCCCGGGACCUGAGAGGAUCUGUGAUGGACCCAGACCUCCCACUGAGAACUGCCAGUGGGUGAGCCCAGGGGACCGCCUGGGCAAAGCCUGGACUAGGACUGCUGCUCGGGGAGCGUCAGGGGCCGCCAAGCACCUGUGCCUUUAAGGACACUUUGCUGAGGAGUACUUUCCCUCCGCUGGCUUAGAGAGUGCCUGUGCAGAGCUUCGCGCUACUUCUUGGGUGUUUUGAGGUGUGCAUUUCUUAUUUAGUCUGAGCACAAGAACCUAGUGUGCAUUCAGACAGUUCCCCUUAGACGGUGGCUUGUCUUCUCCUCUCCUGGACGCAUCAUUUCUAGGGAGAGCUUUAACUUCUUUUUAUCUUUGUUUUCCGCACUGGGAAUUGAACCCAGGCAGCUGGCCUCCACCACUGGGCCACACCCCCAGCCCCCCCCCCUUUUUUUUUUCAUUUUGAGACAGGGCCUGGCUCAGUCUCUGCAGCCUGACCUCGCAGCCUCCUGCCUCUGCCUCCUGAGCUGGGAUCGCAGUCCUGCCACCCUGCGACUCCCCCUCUUUUGUUUGCUUUACUUUAUGGAAGUGGCGGGGAAGGUGGGGUGGAAGCUGUCCAGUAGGCACCAGCCUUCCGUGGCCAGGAUGUGCGCUGCAGGUGCCACCGAGUGCCCUCUGCCUGUUCAAAGCUCCCUUCUAGGGCUGGGGCGGGGCUCAGUGGUGGAGCGCUCGCCUCGAACACAUGAGGCCCUGGGUUCGAUCCUCAGCACCAAACAAAAAUAAAUAAAAAUAAAGGCAUGUGUCUGUCUAUAACUAAGAAUAUUUUUAAAAGAAAUAAGGAAAAGAUCCCUUCUAGUCCUGAUUUUCUGGGAGUUGUUUUGGUUUUUGUUUAAAUCAUGAAUGCCUGUGAUGUGAUACAUAAUAAAUAUAUAGAUUGA